Molecule: ribosomal RNA, 253 nt
Filed under: uncultured bacterium
Lineage: Bacteria
Description: partial 16S ribosomal RNA
Rfam family: Bacterial small subunit ribosomal RNA
Source: RNAcentral
UACGAAGGGUGCAAGCGUUACUCGGAAUUACUGGGCGUAAAGCGUGCGUAGGUGGUUUGUUAAGUCUGUUGUGAAAGCCCCGGGCUCAACCUGGGAAUGGCAAUGGAUACUGGCAGGCUAGAGUGCGGUAGAGGGUAGUGGAAUUCCCGGUGUAGCGGUGAAAUGCGUAGAGAUCGGGAGGAACACCAGUGGCGAAGGCGGCUACCUGGACCAGCACUGACGCUGAGGCACGAAGGCCAGGGGAGCAAACGGG